Molecule: ribosomal RNA, 547 nt
Filed under: Penicillium corylophilum
Lineage: Eukaryota; Fungi; Ascomycota; Eurotiomycetes; Eurotiales; Aspergillaceae
Description: eukaryotic LSU rRNA
Rfam family: 5.8S ribosomal RNA (bases 166-319)
Source: RNAcentral
ACGAGACUCUGGGUCACCUCCCACCCAUGUUUAUUGUACCUUGUUGCUUCGGCGGGCCCGCCUCACGGCCGCCGGGGGGCUUCUGCCCUCUGGCCCGCGCCCGCCGAAGACACCAUUGAACACUGUCUGAAGAUUGCAGUCUGAGCAAUUAGCUAAAUAAGUUAAAACUUUCAACAACGGAUCUCUUGGUUCCGGCAUCGAUGAAGAACGCAGCGAAAUGCGAUACGUAAUGUGAAUUGCAGAAUUCAGUGAAUCAUCGAGUCUUUGAACGCACAUUGCGCCCCUUGGUAUUCCGGGGGGCAUGCCUGUCCGAGCGUCAUUGCUGCCCUCAAGCACGGCUUGUGUGUUGGGCCCCGUCCUCCUUCCCGGGGGACGGGCCCGAAAGGCAGCGGCGGCACCGCGUCCGGUCCUCGAGCGUAUGGGGCUUUGUCACCCGCUCUUGUAGGCCCGGCCGGCGCUUGCCGACAACCAUCAAUCUUUUUUCAGGUUGACCUCGGAUCAGGUAGGGAUACCCGCUGAACUUAAGCAUAUCAAUAAGCCGGAGGAA